RNAcentral lists this ribosomal RNA (641 nucleotides) under Pediococcus pentosaceus. RNAcentral's name for it is "bacterial SSU rRNA". It matches the Rfam family "Bacterial small subunit ribosomal RNA", at positions 58 to 670 of the family's 1533-position model. The record is from RNAcentral. Lineage: Bacteria; Bacillati; Bacillota; Bacilli; Lactobacillales; Lactobacillaceae.
UCCGUUAAGUGAUUAUGACUUACUUGUACUGAUUGAGAUUUUAACACGAAGUGAGUGGCGAACGGGUGAGUAACACGUGGGUGACCUGCCCAGAAGUAGGGGAUAACACCUGGAAACAGAUGCUAAUACCGUAUAACAGAGAAAACCGCAUGGUUUUCUUUUAAAACAUGGCUCUGCUAUCACUUCUGGAUGGACCCGCGGCGUAUUAGCUAGUUGGUGAGGUAAAGGCUCACCAAGGCAGUGAUACGUAGCCGACCUGAGAGGGCAUCGGCCACAUUGGGACUGAGACACGGCCCAGACUCCUACGGGAGGCAGCAGUAAGGAAUCUUCCACAAUGGACGCAAGUCUGAUGGAGCAACGCCGCGUGAGUGAAGAAGGGUUUCGGCUCGUAAAGCUCUGUUGUUAAAGAAGAACGUGGGUAAGAGUAACUGUUUACCCAGUGACGGUAUUUAACCAGAAAGCCACGGCUAACUACGUGCCAGCAGCCGCGGUAAUACGUAGGUGGCAAGCGUUAUCCGGAUUUAUUGGGCGUAAAGCGAGCGCAGGCGGUCUUUUAAGUCUAAUGUGAAAGCCUUCGGCUCAACCGAAGAAGUGCAUUGGAAACUGGGAGACUUGAGUGCAGAACAGGACAGUGGAACUCC